GAUGGACGCUGGCGGCGUGCCUAAUACAUGCAAGUCGAGCGAACGGACGAGGAGCUUGCUUCUCUGACGUUAGCGGCGGACGGGUGAGUAACACGUGGAUAACCUACCUAUAAGACUGGGAUAACUUCGGGAAACCGGAGCUAAUACCGGAUAAUAUAUUGAACCGCAUGGUUCAAUAGUGAAAGACGGUCUUGCUGUCACUUAUAGAUGGAUCCGCGCUGCAUUAGCUAGUUGGUAAGGUAACGGCUUACCAAGGCAACGAUGCAUAGCCGACCUGAGAGGGUGAUCGGCCACACUGGAACUGAGACACGGUCCAGACUCCUACGGGAGGCAGCAGUAGGGAAUCUUCCGCAAUGGGCGAAAGCCUGACGGAGCAACGCCGCGUGAGUGAUGAAGGUCUUCGGAUCGUAAAACUCUGUUAUUAGGGAAGAACAUAUGUGUAAGUAACUAUGCACGUCUUGACGGUACCUAAUCAGAAAGCCACGGCUAACUACGUG
Molecule: ribosomal RNA, 497 nt
Filed under: uncultured bacterium
Lineage: Bacteria
Description: partial 16S ribosomal RNA
Rfam family: Bacterial small subunit ribosomal RNA
Source: RNAcentral